RNAcentral lists this ribosomal RNA (490 nucleotides) under uncultured bacterium. Its description in RNAcentral is "partial 16S ribosomal RNA". It matches the Rfam family "Bacterial small subunit ribosomal RNA", at positions 30 to 507 of the family's 1533-position model. The record is from RNAcentral.
AUUGUACGCUGGCGGCAGGCCUAACACAUGCAAGUCGAACGGUAACAGGAAGAAGCUUGCUUCUUUGCUGACGAGUGGCGGACGGGUGAGUAAUGUCUGGGAAACUGCCUGAUGGAGGGGGAUAACUACUGGAAACGGUAGCUAAUACCGCAUAACGUCGCAAGACCAAAGAGGGGGACCUUCGGGCCUCUUGCCAUCGGAUGUGCCCAGAUGGGAUUAGCUAGUAGGUGGGGUAACGGCUCACCUAGGCGACGAUCCCUAGCUGGUCCGAGAGGAUGACCAGCCACACUGGAACUGAGACACGGUCCAGACUCCUACGGGAGGCAGCAGUGGGGAAUAUUGCACAAUGGGCGCAAGCCUGAUGCAGCCAUGCCGCGUGUAUGAAGAAGGCCUUCGGGUUGUAAAGUACUUUCAGCGGGGAGGAAGGGAGUAAAGUUAAUACCUUUGCUCAUUGACGUUACCCGCAGAAGAAGCACCGGCUAACUCCGUG